GACACUAGAAUUAGGGGUACAAGAUACCCACCUGAGAGAAAAGAAAAAGAAAAUAUAGAGCAUCUCAUUCUCCUCAAAAAGCUUCAAAGUGCAAGAAAGGUAUGUAUCCCCUCAAAAGAGCAAAAAUAGAAUUAGACUUUCACCAUUGUUAUCACCAUCAUCACCAUACACCAUUCAUUCGCCACACAUGCACAUCUUGAUUUGACUUAUUGACUUGUUUCUCUGGAUCCAUGGUUUGACUAUGCAAUAAAUGUCUUGUAAGUAUGUAUUAGCUGUCUCCCACCCAUGAGCUCCAGAUAUCAAAACCUUAUUAGAGUAGGGUGAGAGAGAAGGCAAUAUCACUAUGCCUUAUACCAAAAAUACCACAUACUUUGAGAGAAUGUAUAUACCAUUACUGCCUUGGAAAGGAUCUAGAAAUACCACA
RNAcentral lists this long non-coding RNA (424 nucleotides) under Sorghum bicolor (sorghum). RNAcentral's name for it is "long non-coding RNA (SBIC_LNC004614)". Lineage: Eukaryota; Viridiplantae; Streptophyta; Magnoliopsida; Poales; Poaceae. The record is from RNAcentral.